This is a small nucleolar RNA of Mangifera indica (mango), 107 nucleotides long. NCBI's taxonomy places the organism in Eukaryota, Viridiplantae, Streptophyta, Magnoliopsida, Sapindales, Anacardiaceae. The record is from RefSeq and is a predicted model, not a curated record.
AAGCCAUGGUAUGGGCAUUUUUUAAGAGAUUCCUUGUACUUCUCCCAGGCUUUGUAUAAUGAUUCUAUAUUUAAAUGCAUAAAGUUGGUGAUGCCAUCAUAUAGUUU